CCUAAGGUAGCGAAAUUCCUUGUCGGGUAAGUUCCGACCCGCACGAAAGGCGUAAUGAUUUGAGCGCUGUCUCGACAAUGCACCCGGUGAAAUUGAAAUACCAGUGAAGAUGCUGGUUACCUGCGCCAGGACGGAAAGACCCCAUGGAGCUUUACUCCAGCUUGAUACUGGGAUCCGGUAUUGCAUGUACAGGAUAGGUGGGAGGCUGUGAAUCAUGGACGCCAGUCUGUGAGGAGCCGCUGUUGGGAUACCACCCUUGCGGUAUUGGGUUUCUAACCUGCGCCCAUGACCUGGGCGGGGGACAAUGUCAGGUGGGGAGUUUGACUGGGGCGGUCGCCUCCGAAAGGGUAUCGGAGGCGCUCAAAGGUUCCCUCAGGAUGGUUGGAAACCAUCCAUAGAGUGCAAAGGCAUAAGGGGGCUUGACUGCGAGACUGACGGGUCGAGCAGGUACGAAAGUAGGACUUAGUGAUCCGGUGGUAUGAAAGUGGGAUUGCCAUCGCUCAACGGAUAAAAGCUACCCUGGGGAUAACAGGCUUAUCACUCCCAAGAGUUCACAUCGACGGAGUGGUUUGGCACCUCGAUGUCGGCUCAUCGCAUCCUGGGGCUGUAGCAGGUCCCAAGGGUUGGGCUGUUCGCCCAUUAAAGCGGUACGCGAGCUGGGUUCAGA
Molecule: ribosomal RNA, 667 nt
Filed under: Enterocloster aldenensis
Lineage: Bacteria; Bacillati; Bacillota; Clostridia; Lachnospirales; Lachnospiraceae
Description: partial 23S ribosomal RNA
Rfam family: Bacterial large subunit ribosomal RNA
Source: RNAcentral